This 428-nucleotide ribosomal RNA is filed under the name uncultured bacterium. Its description in RNAcentral is "bacterial SSU rRNA". It matches the Rfam family "Bacterial small subunit ribosomal RNA", at positions 355 to 775 of the family's 1533-position model. The record is from RNAcentral.
UGGGGAAUAUUGGACAAUGGGCGCAAGCCUGAUCCAGCAAUGCCGCGUGUGUGAAGAAGGCCUUCGGGUUGUAAAGCACUUUUAUCAGGAGCGAAAUCGGCAAGGUUAAUAACCGUGUCGUCUGACGGUACCUGAGGAAUAAGCACCGGCUAACUUCGUGCCAGCAGCCGCGGUAAUACGAAGGGUGCAAGCGUUAAUCGGAAUUACUGGGCGUAAAGGGUGCGUAGGCGGUUAGUUAAGUCUGUUGUGAAAUCCCCGGGCUCAACCUGGGAAUGGCAAUGGAUACUGGCUGGCUAGAGUGUGUCAGAGGAUGGUGGAAUUCCCGGUGUAGCGGUGAAAUGCGUAGAGAUCGGGAGGAACAUCAGUGGCGAAGGCGGCCAUCUGGGACAACACUGACGCUGAAGCACGAAAGCGUGGGGAGCAAACAG